AUUAAACAGUUGGGGAGCUUGCACGCAGGCUGAGAGUAAGCAUACGCUUUGACCCAUAACCUGAUUUGGAUAAUGCCAACGGAGGGAACCUAUAGUUUUUUACUG
Molecule: non-coding RNA, 105 nt
Filed under: [Eubacterium] nodatum
Lineage: Bacteria; Bacillati; Bacillota; Clostridia; Peptostreptococcales; Anaerovoracaceae
Also listed under: 1 other name
Description: Eubacterium nodatum TPP sequence
Rfam family: TPP riboswitch aptamer (THI element)
About the family: Vitamin B(1) in its active form thiamin pyrophosphate (TPP) is an essential coenzyme that is synthesised by coupling of pyrimidine and thiazole moieties in bacteria. The previously detected thiamin-regulatory element, thi box was extended, resulting in a new, highly conserved RNA secondary structure, the THI element, which is widely distributed in eubacteria and also occurs in some archaea.
Source: RNAcentral